AUUCCUCAGCCCAUCUGGAUUUAUGUUUAUUUUUUCUGGAUGGUGCUGGUUGUGGAGGUUGCUGGCUUUUUUAAUUAAUGCCUGCUCCUCUUAAAUGUAUUAGUGUGGAUGUUAUCAAAUGUUCCCCAGUGUAAUAAUUUAUUUGCACUGUUGGUCCUUUGGUAGAUGAUAUGUUCAUGCUUCUAACAGUCCUUCAUUUGGACAAUAUUUACUUUUGC
This 218-nucleotide unclassified non-coding RNA is filed under the name uncultured Hyphoderma. RNAcentral's name for it is "sequence contains ITS2". Lineage: Eukaryota; Fungi; Basidiomycota; Agaricomycetes; Polyporales; Hyphodermataceae. The record is from RNAcentral.